AGUGCAUGUGGUGGAUGCCUUGGCAGUCAGAGGCGAUGAAAGACGUGAUAGCCUGCGAAAAGCUCCGGGGAGGCGGCAAAUAUCCUUUGAUCCGGAGAUGUCUGAAUGGGGGAACCCACCUACUUUAAGGUAGGUAUUGCAACAUGAAUACAUAGUGUUGCAAGGCGAACGAGGGGAAGUGAAACAUCUCAGUACCCUUAGGAAAAGAAAUCAAUUGAGAUUCCCUCAGUAGCGGCGAGCGAACGGGGAUCAGCCCAUUAAGUUAUGUGUGUUUUAGUGGAACGCUCUGGGAAGUGCGAACGUAGAGGGUGAUAUUCCCGUACACGAAAGGGCACACAUAAUGAUGACGAGUAGGGCGAGGCACGUGAAACCUUGUCUGAAUAUGGGGGGACCAUCCUCCAAGGCUAAAUACUCCUGACUGACCGAUAGUGAACCAGUACCGUGAGGGAAAGGCGAAAAGAACCCCUGUGAGGGGAGUGAAAUAGAUCCUGAAACCGCAUGCAUACAAGCAGUGGGAGCACCUUCGUGGUGUGACUGCGUACCUUUUGUAUAAUGGGUCAGCGACUUAUAUUCAGUAGCGAGGUUAACCGUAUAGGGGAGCCGUAGAGAAAUCGAGUCUUAAUAGGGCGUUUAGUUGCUGGGUAUAGACCCGAAACCAGGCGAUCUAUCCAUGAGCAGGUUGAAGGUUGGGUAACACUAACUGGAGGACCGAACCCACUGUCGUUGAAAAGCCAGGGGAUGACUUGUGGAUAGGGGUGAAAGGCUAAUCAAGCCUGGUGAUAGCUGGUUCUCCCCGAAAGCUAUUUAGGUAGCGCCUCGGACGAAUACCAUAGGGGGUAGAGCACUGUUUCGGCUAGGGGGUCAUCCCGACUUACCAAACCGAUGCAAACUCCGAAUACCUAUGAGUACUAUCCGGGAGACAGACUGCGGGUGCUAACGUCCGUAGUCAAGAGGAAAACAAUCCAGACCGCCAGCUAAGGCCCCAAAAUCAUAGUUAAGUGGGAAACGAUGUGGGAAGGCAUAGACAGCUAGGAGGUUGGCUUAGAAGCAGCCACCCUUUAAAGAAAGCGUAAUAGCUCACUAGUCGAGUCGGCCUGCGCGGAAGAUGUAACGGGGCUAAAACUAUGUGCCGAAGCUGCGGAUGUAUACUUUGUAUACGUGGUAGGGGAGCGUUCUGUAAGCCGAUGAAGGUGUGUUGAGAAGCAUGCUGGAGGUAUCAGAAGUGCGAAUGCUGACGUGAGUAACGACAAAACGGGUGAAAAACCCGUUCGCCGAAAGACCAAGGGUUCCAGUCCAACGUUAAUCGGGGCUGGGUGAGUCGACCCCUAAGGCGAGGCCGAAAGGCGUAGUCGAUGGGAAAAUGGUUAAUAUUCCAUUACUUCUGUGUAAUGCGAUGAGAGGACGGAGAAGGCUAAAUCAGCCUGGCGUUGGUUGUCCAGGUGAAAGGAUGUAGGCAUGUAUCUUAGGCAAAUCCGGGGUACUCUAUGCUGAGAUCUGAUAGCAAGCUGUACUUGUACAGCGAAGUGGUUGAUGCCAUGCUUCCAGGAAAAGUCUCUAAGCUUCAGUUACACAGGAAUCGUACCCGAAACCGACACAGGUGGUCAGGUCGAGUAGACCAAGGCGCUUGAGAGAACUCUGCUGAAGGAACUAGGCAAAAUGGUACCGUAACUUCGGGAGAAGGUACGCUGUUGUUGGUGAUGGAACUCGCUUCCUGAGCUGACGACAGCCGCAGAAACCAGGCCGCUGCAACUGUUUAUUAAAAACAUAGCACUCUGCAAACACGAAAGUGGACGUAUAGGGUGUGAUGCCUGCCCGGUGCUGGAAGGUUAAUUGAUGGGGUUAGCGUAAGCGAAGCUCUUGAUCGAAGCCCCAGUAAACGGCGGCCGUAACUAUAACGGUCCUAAGGUAGCGAAAUUCCUUGUCGGGUAAGUUCCGACCUGCACGAAUGGCAUAAUGAUGGCGGCGCUGUCUCCAGCAGAGGCUCAGUGAAAUCGAAAUCGCUGUGAAGAUGCAGUGUACCCGCGGCUAGACGGAAAGACCCCGUGAACCUUUACUGCAGCUUGACACUGAACUUUGACCUUACUUGUGUAGGAUAGGUGGGAGGCUUUGAAGCUGGAACGCUAGUUCCAGUGGAGCCGUCCUUGAAAUACCACCCUGGUAAUGUUGAGGUUCUAACUUUGUCCCGUGAUCCGGGACGAGGACCGUGUCUGGUGGGUAGUUUGACUGGGGCGGUCUCCUCCUAAAGAGUAACGGAGGAGUACGAAGGUGCGCUCAGCGUGGUCGGAAAUCACGCGUAGAGUAUAAAGGCAAAAGCGCGCUUAACUGCGAGACCCACAAGUCGAGCAGGUACGAAAGUAGGUCUUAGUGAUCCGGUGGUUCUGUAUGGAAGGGCCAUCGCUCAACGGAUAAAAGGUACUCUGGGGAUAACAGGCUGAUACCGCCCAAGAGUUCAUAUCGACGGCGGUGUUUGGCACCUCGAUGUCGGCUCAUCUCAUCCUGGGGCUGAAGCAGGUCCCAAGGGUAUGGCUGUUCGCCAUUUAAAGAGGUACGCGAGCUGGGUUUAGAACGUCGUGAGACAGUUCGGUCCCUAUCUACCGUGGGCGCUGGAAAUUUGAGAGGAUCUGCUCCUAGUACGAGAGGACCAGAGUGGACGAACCUCUGGUGUACCGGUUGUGACGCCAGUCGCAUCGCCGGGUAGCUAUGUUCGGAAGGGAUAACCGCUGAAAGCAUCUAAGCGGGAAGCCUACCUCAAGAUAAGAUUUCCCUAGGACUUUAUGUCCUCUAAAGAGCCGUUCGAGACUAGGACGUUGAUAGGUUGGAUGUGGAAGCAUAGUGAUAUGUGAAGCUGACCAAUACUAAUUGCUCGUGAGGCUUGACU
RNAcentral lists this ribosomal RNA (2878 nucleotides) under Acinetobacter baumannii TG22204. Its description in RNAcentral is "bacterial LSU rRNA". It matches the Rfam family "Bacterial large subunit ribosomal RNA". The record is from RNAcentral. Lineage: Bacteria; Pseudomonadati; Pseudomonadota; Gammaproteobacteria; Moraxellales; Moraxellaceae.